RNAcentral lists this ribosomal RNA (253 nucleotides) under uncultured bacterium. Its description in RNAcentral is "partial 16S ribosomal RNA". It matches the Rfam family "Bacterial small subunit ribosomal RNA", at positions 524 to 776 of the family's 1533-position model. The record is from RNAcentral.
GACGUAGGAAGCAAGCGUUGUCCGGAAUUACUGGGCGUAAAGAGCUCGUAGGCGGGAUCGUAAGUCUUAGAGUAAAUCUCACGGCUCAACCGUGGGGCCUUCUGAGAUACUGCGAUUCUUGAGGAUGUCAGAGGAAAGUAGAAUUCCCGGUGUAGCGGUGAAAUGCGUAGAUAUCGGGAGGAAUACCAGUGGCGAAGGCGACUUUCUGGGACAUUCCUGACGCUGAGGAGCGAAAGCGUGGGGAGCAAACGGG